GACGAACGCUGGCGGCGUGCUUAACACAUGCAAGUCGAACGGUGAAGCGCCUUCCUUUUUGGUGGGUGUGGAUGAGUGGCGAACGGGUGAGUAACACGUGAGUAACCUGCCCCCUUCUUCUGGAUAACCGCAUGAAAGUGUGGCUAAUACGGGAUAUUCUGGGUCUGUCGCAUGAUGGGUCUGGGAAAGAUGUUGUUUCGGUGGGGGAUGGGCUCGCGGCCUAUCAGCUUGUUGGUGGGGUGAUGGCCUACCAAGGCGGUGACGGGUAGCCGGCCUGAGAGGGUGGACGGUCACACUGGGACUGAGGCCCGGCCCAGACUGCUACGGGAGGCAGCAGUGGGGAAUAUUGCACAAUGGGCGCAAGCCUGAUGCAGCGACGCCGCGUGAGGGAUGGAGGCCUUCGGGUUGUGAACCUCUUUCGCCAGUGAAGCAGGCCUGCCUCGUUUGUGGGUGGGUUGACGGUAGCUGGAUAAGAAGCGCCGGCUAACUACGUG
This 494-nucleotide ribosomal RNA is filed under the name uncultured bacterium. Its description in RNAcentral is "partial 16S ribosomal RNA". It matches the Rfam family "Bacterial small subunit ribosomal RNA", at positions 28 to 507 of the family's 1533-position model. The record is from RNAcentral.